RNAcentral lists this unclassified non-coding RNA (418 nucleotides) under Hevea brasiliensis (rubber tree). Lineage: Eukaryota; Viridiplantae; Streptophyta; Magnoliopsida; Malpighiales; Euphorbiaceae. The record is from RNAcentral.
CCAUUGGGACAGCAAAAGGGUGCAAUAUUCUUGUUUCCUUGAGCCUUAAAUUUUUGUUAGUUUUUGGUUCCAAAAGAUGCUAAUAGUGUUGAUUUUGUUAAUCAGUCGACAUUAAUUAUUUGAGCACCAAUAAAGUUCUGAAUAUGGAAUUUGCCAUCAUUUCUCUUACAACUUUCAUUGAUCCUGUAAUUCAUCUCACUUUGUAUCUUCUGUUUGAAAUUAUACUUUUCUGUAACCGCCACUUCAUUGGAUUGACUUGAUGGUGUUCUUUGGCAAAGCUUCAGGAACUGUAGUUGUUGCUGGCUGACAAUUUCAUGGAAUUUUUUUUUUCCCUUUUUAGUUACACAUUUCCUAUCUUUCUUUUUCUAUGAAGUUUUAUGGGUUCCUAUAUCUGCUGCAGGCUAGCCUAUUUGCAUGA